RNAcentral lists this unclassified non-coding RNA (236 nucleotides) under fungal sp. RNAcentral describes it as "partial internal transcribed spacer region". The stretch from base 1 to 46 matches the Rfam family "Eukaryotic small subunit ribosomal RNA", at positions 1786 to 1831 of the family's 1831-position model. Lineage: Eukaryota; Fungi. The record is from RNAcentral.
AAGUCGUAACAAGGUAACCGUAGGUGAACCUGCGGUUGGAUCAUUAUUGAUUUUGUUAAAUAAUAACCAAAAGUUUAACAGUGUUUGGUGUCAAAACCAUUCGCAUACACCUGUGAACUGUGACUGUUUCUGGGUCCUAAUGCUCUCGAGCGACAGGGCCCGACAUAUUAACUAUAUACUAAUGUCUGAAUAAAUUUAAAUAAAAACAACUUUUGACAACGGAUCUCUUGGCUCUC